This 38552-nucleotide long non-coding RNA is filed under the name Medicago truncatula (barrel medic). Its description in RNAcentral is "long non-coding RNA (MTRU_LNC004949)". The stretch from base 8129 to 8311 matches the Rfam family "MIR2619 microRNA precursor family". Lineage: Eukaryota; Viridiplantae; Streptophyta; Magnoliopsida; Fabales; Fabaceae. The record is from RNAcentral.
AAAAUAAAAUAAAAAAUGGUAAUUUUUUUGUAGAAUAUCACAUCUUUAGAUUUUUAUGUUGUAUAUGAUAUCACAUCUUUAGCACAAAUAACAACUUAAUGUCAUAAUUCGAAAUAAAUAUUUUAGCUUCUUAAAGCCUUACAAUUAUACUUAUAAUAAAAUAACUUAUCUAAUAUAUUAUCAAGAUCCAACAAAAGAAAUCAAGACCAUUAUUGAAUCCACCCCUGAUGUCACAAUACCAGAGCCUUACAAUCGAACUAAACAUAAACAAUAAUUCAAUAAACUUUCAAUAUACUUUCAAGAACAUCAUGGCAUAGGUUAGAAAACAUUUCUCCACUUUAUUCUCGGGAAAAAAAAAAUUCGAUACUACACCUUAGUCUUGUCUUGAAGAUAACCUACAUAUAAAUCACAGAAGAGAGAAGAGUAGAAUAGAAAAUAAAGGGUAAGAGAUAUUAUACAUCAUUUAAAGUAGUAUAACAAUAGAGACAAAUAAAAAAAGUAAUAGUUUUUUAGGUUUCUAAAUGUGUAACAAGUAGGCACAAUAGUCACUUAAUGUAUCGAAAUUUAAAAAUUAUCCUUAAUUGUACAAUAUAUUAGUCAAAAUAGUCAUUUACGUUAAAAUGUCUCUUUAUUAUUUUCAUACUAAUUAAUCCUUCAAUAUAAAGUAUUUGUUGUCAUAUCAGUCCCUAUAUUGAAAGAGUUAAUGUCGAAAUUGAGAGACUAAUUUGACCUUAAGAAUUAUUUUGACCAGUAAAGUGCAGAAUUAAAAACAAUUUUGAAAAUUCUAUACAUUGAGGAACUAUUAUGAUUAUUGGUUACAAAUUCAGGGAUCAAAAUUACCAUCACCUAAAAAACACAAGGAUCCAUUUAAAUCACUAAACUAUAUGGUUUGUAUAUAAUUGUUCAAGAGAUGUAUAUCAAAUGUACUGAUCUUCCACCUUUACACUAUAUGCAUUCUGUACAAUUAAAACAUACUCAAUAUAGUAGAUAGAAGAACAUAUUCAAUUAAUGAAGAGCAAUACUCCUUUGAGUACUCAAGAUAGUAUAUUGCACUAUAUGCGUGAGAUAUUUGGUGAUGAUUUAUAAAAGAAAUUGCAAUAAUCAUCUAUACUAUGUAUAAAGAAAAUAUAUUUAAUAUACAUGAGUUUCAGCCGACUUGUUCAUUACAUUUUUACCCUUCGUUUAAACUAUUUUAUUUACUAUUUUAUUCUUUAAUAAUAUUAUUUUAAAUUUUAAAUAAAAAUAAAUAAAUCCCAGUAAAAUAAGAAAUGUCCUACUAUAAUAGAAAGAAUAUCAUUAAUAUUAUGUAUGAUGGGGAUAGAGAUUUUGGGUUAAUUUUUUUAUAAUUCUAAUUAUAUCCUUGAACAAAUUUUCAUAUAUUAAUGUUAAAUUGCCGGUGGUAUUAAUAAAGAUAAUGGUUUAUAUUAUAUUUGUUAAAUUAAUUUUGUUAUUGAAAAAGAGAAACAUGGUCUUUUGAAUUUGUUACAAUUUGAAAGUCAUGAAUAUUUGUUCUUAUAAUUUUAAUCAAAAUCAAAAUUUCAUAUAAAAAUAAAGUUCAUAAUUUAAUGUGUUAGCCCAAUAAAAAGAACGGAUUCAGUAGUAAACAUAAAGAAUGCUGUAAAUUAUUUUCUUGCCACAUUGGAUAUGACAGAAGAAAAGUCUCAUGUGAUAGCUAUAAUGCAUAUAGGAAUUAAGAUAACCACAAACCAAAUAAUGUUUGUUAAAUUAAAUGUUUUUAACUGAAUAUGAAAAUACAAAGGAAUAGUAAUAGAAAAUUGGCCUUCAAAAAAUAAUAGAAAAUUGAAAAAAUCAUUAUAAAAGAGGAACCAUACUUAAGGAAGGAAGGAAAACAUUUCCUUCUGGUUAAACUAGUGAAUUUCGGGAAAUAAAAUUAGGGUGAAUUAGUUAAAGAGGAACCGUACUUAAGGAAGGAAAUAAAUUUUGGUUUUCAUGAUUGGUGGAGACAUCCACUUUUUUGUAUGAGUGCAUGUAAUUUUGUUAUUUCUUUUUCGGUGGUGGCAACCUCUUAUUAGGUGUCAUGACUUUGUAACAGAUAUUGUGUGAUUCAUCACUUUUAGCACAUCUUGUGCGGGGUGAAUCACUUUUCGUUUUAGCAAUAUAUUUCAUUUUGAUUUAUUAAAAAAAAACCAUAAACCUUGAGGAGGGAAUGGUAAAAUAGAUUAAUAUAUUCAAGUAUGCAUAGAUUUCUUAACGAUUCUUCGGAAUUUCGAGUUAUUGAGUUGCAUAUGUAUGUAUUUUUCUUAGUAAUAUUUGUGUGACAUGGAUUUAAAUAUUAAGAUUCUUAUGUUAUAUUUCCAUCAAGCUAAGGUAUUUUAUCUUUUUUCAACACUUGAAUUUGGUUCUUUUAUCAACUUUAAGUGACGCUUGAAUUUAGUUUCUUUAAGUAUGAGUCUUUUGUGAAUAAUGGUUGAGAAAACGAGACAACGAGAGUGGUACUAGAAUUUGAAAAAAAAUAAAAAAUUGAAAGAAGUAUAUCUUUUUAUUUUCCUUCAAAAAAAAAAAGUAUAUCUUUUUAUUUAUUCGAAAUUCACUACACUUACAAAAUUACACUUAUUUUAUACUCUUUUUUUUAAAUAGAAUAAAAUAUCAUUUUUUUGUAAAAAUAUAGAAGGUGCACACUAUAAACUUACAUCUUCAUGAGAAAAGAAAAUGAAAGGUUUAGACGUAAUAGAAAAAAAUUACCUUAUUUAUACCAAAGAACACAAACAUUUUCAACGCAUUUCCAAAUUUUAAAAAGAGGUUUCUUGCUUUUGUAACAAUCAUCAACAAUACCACAAUAUUCUGUAAUGUAAAAUAAGAAUAAAUUAAUACUAAUAAAAAGGAAAUAAAGAAUGUGUAUAAGAUAAUAAACAAAUGUGAAUGAACUUACUUAUAUGACCUAUAUCUUCGAAGAUUACAACAAGAAACAGGUGAACAAAAAGGAUGAAUGUAUAAAUAAAUUUGAACAUUUCUCCCAUUGUUUUUCCCCUUUGCGUGAAAUAAGUGUAAAAUUAUUUUAUCACUUUAUAUAGUAAAAAAUCAAAUGAUAUGUUUACAUCAACAAAACAGUUUUUAAUAAUUAUGUUGUUGUAAUUAAUACUUUUUGAAAAUUAAAAUAAUUAUUAAAUGUCUCUUUAAUACGUUGAUGUAUCGUAGUUGUCUCUUUGGCUCAUAGAAUAGAUGUCUCAAAAUUAUUACUUUCUUUUAUACAAAUCAUAAAAUUAUUACUUAUAAAUAGAGCUCAUUAUUGUUUAACAACCUUUCAUUAUUAUUUUUUAUUUCUUAGCCAGCCUUUCAUAAUAGAGAUAGGAAAACCAAUAUUAUAUUAUGUUGAUAUGAGUGGGUGUGGAAUCACACAACGUGAAUAAGGUCUCUUGUUUGAGUCUUGUGGUUAAAUAAAACGUGAAGUAGAAACCUUAUUAAAGGGUGUCAAUAGGAUUAUUUGGUUGGUAUAAGUCAUUGAUAGUCAAUGGAUACUUUGCACAUGUAACAUAGUGAAGAAAAAAAUAAGGAAAAUGACAAAAGAUAAAUAAUAAUGUAGAAUGAAGACAAAAUUAGUUGCAGGAGUAAUGAACUCAUGAUAUGAUAAUAACUUUAUGUAUUUAUUAAAAGUAGGGUAUUUGCGGUGGGGUUUGGAUCGGUUUUGAUGUAAAAAGUCAUCCGAUUAAAAAAUUAAAAUCGCAUGUGGUGCAGUUUGGUUUGGAUGAAUAUUCUAAAAAAAUCCAAUCUCAUAUGAUCCAAAUGUAUGCGAUUUAUUUUGGAUUAGUUUUCGGAUAUCCAAAAUGCAACAUGUAAUAUUUUUUGUUAAUAUUAAUAUUACAAAUACACGAAAAAAAUAAUAGUUUGAUUUUUUUUUUGACAAGUCAAAUAGAAAAAAUGAAAAAUAAUAGUUUGAUGAAAAAUAAAAUAUAAAUAUAUUAUAAUAUUAACAUUACAAAAUAAAAAUGAUCGAUUAUAUUCGACACAUAUAAAGAAGUAAUAAUGGAGAUUAAAUUAUUGUAAUAUAUAAGAUUAAAAACAAAAAAGUUAUAUAUUAAUGCAAUAUAUAAUACUAAUGAAAUAAUAAUUAAGUAUUAAAAUGUACAUUUGCGGUUUGGUUUAGUUUGGUUCAGUUUUGAAAACGUGAUCUGAAAUUCGAUCUGAUUGUAGCGGUUUUACAAAACAAAACAAUACCCAAACGUAUCAAAAAAAUAUUCGAUUUUUAACAGUUUUUGAUUUUUUUUUUAUUAGUUUACGACUUUAUUUUGUAUCAGUUUUGAUUUGAACAUCCUAAUUGAAAGUAUUGAUAGUCAAUGGAUCAUAUGCAUAUUUAUAUUGUCUUUCACCUUUAAUUAUCUUAGUUGUCAAUAUCAUUAGUUAAUUUUAAAAGUUAUUUGAUGUAGUUUAAUGAUCUUUAGUUCUUGAAUGUAAUAAAUUGUUCACUCUUUCAAUUCAUUGACUAACUGAACAUUCUUUUUAGCUUUGUUUUGUUUCAUUAGUUUAACGCAAUAAUGAGAUCAUAUGGAGUAUUUCUAUCAUAUCUAAAGUUAUAAAUGUAUAAAUUGAUUCAAAUCAAUUUCAAAUUUACUUUUGUUCAACUGAGCUUUAACAAAGAAACUCAAAUUGUGAUGACAACUCACAAAUUGAUUCCAAAUCUUGGAGUGUGAUGGUAAAACUUACGGUGGGAUAGCAUCCGUUUAGACAAAUAUAAUAAAAUGAAUCUAUACUUCUAUAUGUAUGCUAUAUAUAAAGAAAAUAACUUAUUUAAACUCUUUUGGAGUGACUAUUUCUCUUUCCAAAAAUACUCUCAAUUUUUAAUACAAUUUUUUUUUAACCAAAAAGGUAGCUAGCAAAGAACUAGACUACCAAAAAUAUAUAUAUAUAUAAAAGGAAGAGAAAAAUACAAAGAAAAGGAGGGUGGCCAAACCAAACCUCCUUAAUGAGUAACAAACCUAAAGUUAAGCAUCUCUAACUUGUUCUGAGAUACAAAAGCGAUAAUGCUACUAGGGAGCUGCAUCCAGAUGUAAGGAACAUUACAAGUUAAACCUAUGUUUGCCAAGUGAUCAACAUAUUGGUUACCUUCCCUAAAAAUAUGUGAUACAAUGAAAUUCAUGUUGCUAACAGUGUUCAAGCAGUUAUCCCAUCUAUUCCUUAACCUCCAAGGGACUAAGGCUUUGUUCUUGAAAGCAUUAAUCACUAGCAUUGAAUAAAGUUCUAGUCAAUUGAACCAAUUGAAUUGUUUUGCUAAUUCAAUCGCUCCCAAAACACCUUUUUUCUUUUUAAAGAAAAAAUAGCUCAGUAGCGUGCUGAGACUAUCCAGAAUAUAUUAAAAGAAACAAAAACAAAGCAAAAGAGAGAGGGGGGCCAAACCAAACCUCUUCAAGAGUUUACAAACCUAAAACAAGGCAGCCCGAGCCUGUUUUGAGUAUAGAACCCUCUAACACAAUCAGGUAAAUCUAACCAUAUAGUGAGAUGAUCUAGAGUGAGGCCAAUAUUGGCCAAAGCAUCAGCACAACAAUUACCCUCUCUAAACACAUGUGUAACUAGAAAGUUCAUGCCUCUGACAAUAUGCAAGUAGUUGUUCCAACGGUUUCUCAGUUUCCAAGGAAUGAGGGAAUGGUUCUUGAAAGCAUUCACCACCAGAGCUGAAUCUGAUUCAAGCCAGAGGGAUUUCCAUUGAUGACUUGCAGCAAUCUCUAUUGCUCCCAUAGCUCCUGAAAGUUCAGCAUGGUAAGCAUUUCCAACCCCAAUAUUCUCUGCAAAGCAAAGGAGGAACAUAGAGUCUUUAUUCCUGAAAAUUCCCCCACAAGAAGAGGAUGUAUUAUAGCUGCACCAUCUGUGUUGCAUUUAAUCCAGUCAAAGAUAGGAGGGUGCCAGACAACUUCUAUUAUUUUGGGAGCUUUUGGAGGAUGAAUAGACACAUUGAACUUCUUCAAGAUAAUAAAAUCAGUGAUGGAUGAUGAAUCUACUGUUUUGGAGAGAUUACUCGUCAGGGAAACACUAGAGAUAAUGGUAGAGAUAGAUGACUUCCAAUGGAUCUUCUUGUCUUGAAACCUUAGCUGAUUUCUAGCAAACCAAAUAACAUUAAGAGUGUUAAUAAUGGCUGCAGUGAUAGUGAGCUUGCAUUGAGGAUUCCAAUUUCUGGAGCAUAGAUUCCAAAUGUCUUCUAUAUUUUGGAAAUUCAAAUUGAUGUUCAGUAUGGAAGCAAACCAAUUCCAGAUAUUAAUUGCAUAAGGACAUUGUAGAAACAGGUGAAAUGAUGUUUCCAAACUAUUCAGACAGAGGGAACACAUGGAAGGAAGAGAGCAACCUCUUAGGGACAAAUUCUCAUUAGUGGGAAGCUUGUUAUGCAUGAGUCUCCAUGCAAGAAGAGAUUUUGAUGGAGGAAUAUCUCUUGACCAAAUUGUUUUGGUCCAAGUAUUCUCAGCAAAACAAAGAAGAAAAUCUGAAUUAUGGUUUCGAAAUAUACCACCACAGCCGGAGGAGAGAGAGGUUGAGGACCCAUUAGAAUUGCACUUUAUCCAAUUUAGAAUAGGAGGAUGCCAUAAAACCUCUAUGUUAUUUUUUCAAUACAAAUAAGAUAUGUAACAAAUAAAUAUAAAUAAAUUUAAAUAUUAAAAAAAUGUAACAAACAAGAUAUAUAAAUAUAUAUAUAUAUAUAUAUAUAUAUAUAUAUAUAUAUUCAAUUUAACGGCAAGGAUAAAAAACUAUCACAUGUAUUUGCAUCUACCCUAUAAGUAUACCCUCUCAUCACUUUGCCAAUUCAUUCAUUAACAUUCUUUUGCGUUUUCAUUGAAUUAAAUUGCAACAUAAAUUUACGGCUGAAUUAUAUCAUUGAUUAACCUAAGAACGUGAAGAAAUUUUUUCAUCAAAGAAUCCUGAUCAACCUGCAGUCAUGCCUAGCAUUAUUAGCACUAAAAACUCCAUCAACCCUUGAUUGCUUAGAAGUACUCAAAUCACUGGGACCCAUAGGAAACUCACCACCAACAGAAACCCUAUUAGCAGUACACAAAAGGAAGAACUUAGAAGAGAAGAAAGCUAGAGAUUGGGAGCUAUAAGAGGAGACUGAAGCCAUGGCUAGAGAUUUUUUUAUUAAGAUUUGAAGUCAGGGGGAUAGUCCUAUACUACCUCAUAAGCUAUAAUUUUAUUUUUUUUACUUAUGGGUCACAAUUGUUAUGAAGGGUUUAUGAUUUUGAUGAAUUUCGAUGUUAAUUUUCGCGCUCAUAAUUAUAUGAUAAAUUUAGGUAUGUGAAAUUUGUUAUAAACUUGUUGUUGGUGCUUAAACUUCAUAGUUGUUAUGUGUUAAAAUGAUUACUCUAAGGUUUUAGCUUAAAUGAUGAAAAAUGAUGUUGUUGUUGUUGAUUGUUGGUGAAUUCAUGAUUAUAUGUCAUGAAUGUUGUUAGGUAUAUGUUGGUGAUGGUAAUUCAUGCAUUGGGUGUUGAUAAAGUUGUUGUGUGGUUGAGUUGUUGUGAGAUAUGUAAACAUGAUUUUAUAGUAUAAUAUGAUAGGUUUAAGUGAUUGGGAUGCAUAAGCGAAAACAUAAUCGAAAACAGAUUUAAAAUCGGAAUUUUAAGCGUGAAAUGGCAAAAAACGAAAAUCGGAACUUCUGUACUGUCAAACUGGCACGACCGUGCGCCCUAUAGGCACGAGCCAUGUGUGUGGUUCGUUGAUGGCCAGCACGACCGUACAACCUGUAGACGCAAUUGUGUGGUAUGUGCAGGUGCCCGAAAACCUAAUUUUUCACAUUUUUCUAAACUUUUAAGCAUCGGUAUGAGUUCCAAACACCUAAACCUACUUAAUUAAAGUGAAAUUGAAUUUGUGUGAGUAGUUUAACUUGGCUUUGCUUUGAAAAAGGAUUGGUUUUGAAACAUGGUGAAACAUAGACGAGUUCGACAAAUUUUGAGAAAUUAAUGUGAAGUAGAUAAAAUAGUCAUAAGGGAGGGAGGAUUGAAUUGUGACCCUUUAAAAAUUAACCUGUAACUCAAAUCAUCAAGUUGUUUACUUGGAAUAGUUUAAGUUAGUAGUUUGACUUCAGAACGUUCUAAAAUUCUUAUGCAAAAACUACUUAAUAAAAUAAAGGCUUAAUAGCAGUUUUCGCCACCUAACUUUCACGAAGUUGUGAUUUUGGCCGCCUAAGAAAAAAACUACAAAACCGCCCCAUAAGUUUUGCAAUUGUGGCAGUUUUGGCCCCCAGGGCCAACCUGCAAGAAUUUAAAAUAAAUAAAAAAAUAACACGCAACACCUCCCUUAGGGUGCCACAUCAGCGUAGAUCGAGUUAAAAUUGGCUUUGGAUGCCAAAACUGCCACAUGUGCAAAACUUAGCGGACGGUUUUGUAGUUUUUUUAAGGGGUCGAAAUCGCAACUUUGGAAAAGUUAGGGGAUAAAACUGCUAUUAAGCCUAAAAUAAAUAUGUUGGUGUGUGUAGCGUAUACUAAAAUUAAAGAGUGUAGAAAAGAGAGAAGGAACACACAAAUAUUUAUAGUGGUUCACCCAAUGUGGGCUAGUCCACUCCUCACAAUCUUUUGAGAGUUUCCACUAUGAUGCUUGAGAUAACCUCUCAAAUCCUGCACCUUACAAUCUUUGUUCACUUGAACAAUUACAACACCUGAAUUCUCUAAGCAUCAGCAGGCUUGCACCUUCUUGCUAAGAUACCCACUUAGACUUUUACAAUCUUUGCUCAAACUAACACUUUAGUACCACUAAAGUUAGAUGAGAUUUUGAUUACAAUUUUUAUGGAGUCUGAAUGAUUGAAAUCAGACAAGAAGAGAAUGGAGGGAGAAAUUAUCUUUAACAAAAUAAGAGAGAAUUGAUUUACACUUUAAGAGACAAUUUGAAAUCUCAGUGAUGAUCAAUUUAAAUGCUAAAGCUUCAAACACUUUUCAGAUGUUUUUCUUGUAUGCUUUGCAAUGGUGCAAGUAAUGUUGAGCCUUUCACUUAUAUUAUAUUUAUAGAGUUCUUGGGCUCUUGUAGCCGUUGAAGGGUGACCAAUGGUCUUGUUCCAUGUGUCAUGGGCCCCACUGACUUUUACUUGAAAUUCUGGGUAAACAUUCUGAACUUCAGAAUGUUGUUGUGUUGUUGAGAAUACAUCAGAAUGUUGUUGCGUUCUUGAUGAUCUUCAUCUGGGUUCAUCAUGAUAUUCAUCAGGGUUCAUCAUAAUAUUCAUCUGGGUUCAUCAUGUAUGAAUGAAAACAUGAGUUUAUGGGCUCAUCAUAUGUGUUUCAUAUGAUUUUCUGGGCAUUAUCCAUAAGCAGUGGCUUUUCCAUAAACAUUAGAAUGUUGCUUUCCCAGAUUUGUCUUGGAAAUAGUGCAGGAGAGAUAAAGCGGAUUCUGCAUCUUCAUGCCCUUGCUUUGAGGGAUUGUGUGGUCCAUGUACAAUACCAAAUCCCAUACAUGUCUAACUCUGAUUGAGUGAGACAAGAUAUCAUUUUUGCUUUUCACCUACUGUACUGUUCAUAAAGCAUGUGUUGAGCUGAACAUUCCGAUCUUCAGAAUGUUCCUUUUGUUUUCACUUGGGAUGAUUUGUAAGACUACCAUUUGAUGUAAUCGAAUCCUUAUAGUGAAACAACAAUGAAGAGCAGUGAUUGUAACAUCUAGGAUGAUAUUCUCCUUGGAAUAUUUAUAGUACUUCAAUGUUCAUAGUCUUAAAUGAACAUUGAGUAUCAUUUUUGACAUAAAUCUUGUAUAUGCCUUUAUUUCUUGAUUGAUCCAUGCAAAUGUACUUUCUUGGACAUUUAUUAAUUUCACGUGUGCCUUGCAUGAUCUUGAUCAAUGUUCUUGAGUUUCUGGGCUUAUAUAAGAAUAGCCUUCUGAACUCUGCUUGAACAUUCUUAUCUCUUAGCAACAUUCUGAACUAACUUCCUGAACUCAGAGAUAGUUCAUGAAUUCAAAUAUCCUUUGAUUUCUUGUAUCUUGGAAUGAUUUAAUCUUUGUUCCUUUCUUAGUUAAACACUCAAGAGCACAAGUUAAAUACCGAGACAUUAAUCAUAGUUCAUUAAUUCUUUAAGCAUAAAGGUUCAUUAUCUUCAAAAUUAAUUAGGGAUUUUGCCUCAACAAAAUGAACCUUGUGAAAGCAAGAUACUAUGAUUGAUUACCCUAGAUGUUAGAUGAUAUGUGUAACGCCCUAGUCGUUAUUUAUUUAAUUAUGAUUUAUUUAGAGUCUUUUUAUGAUUUUAAAUAAUUAUUGUUGAUUAUGUGGUGUGUUAUAUUUUAUUAUAUGGUUUAUUUUGAUAUUAAUUAGAAUAAGUAAGAAUUAUUAUUAUUUUGGAGUUUGGGGAUUAAAUUAGAAUUAAUAGAAUUAAGGGGGAGUUAAAUGAAAUAAAGGAGAGUUAAGAAUAGGAGUUAGGAAAAAAGAGAAGUCAGAAACUGUUUUACGUACAACAGAGUUUUGGGAGAAAAACCAAGAACAAGGGAGAAGAGCCAAGAGAACCAGAAUUUGUAGAGAUUGUUCAUCUGAUUUAAGGUAAGGGUGAGGUUUACUUUCAAUAGUGUAGAUUAUAAUUCUGAUUUUGGUUUAACAUAGUUCUGGUUAAAAUUGGGAAUUUGGGUUUAGAUUAUGAUUCUUUGAUUUUGGAUGGAAAAGAGUGUUGAAACCAUUGUUUUAGUGUUAGGAAUGUGUUCAGAUUGCAUACAACAUGUUAUUACACUUAUGUAAACUGUUUUGGGGAGUGAAUUGAGAAAAUUGAAAUUUUUGGGGAAAAACAUGCAUUCUGCCCGUACAGACAUUCAUCGCUCGCCCCGCGAGUAGCCUGUCUCGCCUCGCGAGUGAGCAAUCUUCACGGCUCGCCUCGCGAGCAGAACCACUCGCCAUGGCGAGUUAGUGAGGGAGAACCUUGAUUUUUAAAUUGUUGUUAUAAGGUAUAAGUUGGUUAGUUUUGAGUGCCUGCAUGUUUCUACAGAGGACUAGGACAAUUUUCAGAUUAAAAAGAUGAAUAGGGAGCUUAAAAAUGAAGUUUUAGUGAGAAAAAUGUCAAAACUCCCGAGAGCACCAUUUUUCUCGUUCGCCUCGUACUCGCCACGGCGAGUAACAUUUUUCCUGAGUUCGCCAUCGCGAGUGUAACAGCCCGAUUUUUAGCUAGAUUUAUUUUAAUUACUUUUAUUAUGUGUUUGUGUGUGAUUAUUUGUGCUUGUGUGUAUUUAAUUGUCAUUGGGUGCAUUUACAUGGAUUACCGUAUUAGAAGGGUAUUUUGGUCAUUUGGCGGGUAAGGGUAAAAUGGUAAUUUUGGUGAGAAUUAUUUUAAUAUUUAGUGAGAACCCUUAUUUUACUAAGUUACUAGUGUAGUGAUUAUAUUUUACCGUUAGUGACCAUUCGUUAUAUUUUACCGUUGUUAGUAAUUACCGUUGAGUGUAUAGAAACUUUUUAGAGUUAAGUUAGAAUGGGUUAGGCCCAUUAGAAUUUAGAAUUGAGCCCAUUAAGGGAGAUAACAUUAGGGUUGUCAUAGAAAAAUAUCUUUCAUUCAGUUCACUAAAAUUUUCCUAGAGAGAGAGGUAGAGAGAGAAAGAGGUGAAGAGAAGAACAAGGGUUUUGAAGAGAAUAGCUUGAGGAAUCAAUUGGGGUAAGAUUAGGAGCUGAAUUGAAGCAAGAGUUUGAGUUAUCUUCUUCUAAGGUAAGGGGGUUAGUUAUCAUCGUAAUCAUGUUCAUUUUUUGCAUUUUCUCAUGUUGUAUGAAAAUGGGUUGAUGAACAAUUGUUGUUAAAUUCGUGCUCUUGUUGUAAUGCUAUUUUCUUGUGCAUGAAUUGAUGAUUAUGGUAUGUUUUUGGGUGAAAUUACAUGUUUCAAAGUAUGUAUAAAUGUUAAGUUAUGAAAUUAUACUUAAUUGAUGAAAUUUGAUAUGUUUUGAUUGAAAUGAGAUGUAAAUCAUAUGUAAUUGAUGUUGUUGUUGCUGAGAUAUGUUGUUGAUUAUGACUUAUGGCUUGGGUGUUCAGAUACCAUAAUUGUUGAUGAGAAAUAAGAUGUUGUUGGUGGUUUUGUGAAAUUGGUGAAGUUGAGUUAAGUGUUCAUGUGAAGGACCAAAUUGAACUUUGAUAUUUAUGGUUGUUGACUGAAAUUUUGUUAUUGUUGGAUGAAUUGAACCUAGGAGAAUUUCUGUUUCCAUGUUGUGGUUAUGUCAGUUGAGUUGUUUGGGAGAAAACGGGUUUUUCGUGUGAAAUGUCGAUGUUUAAGCGUUUUCGUCAAUAAGUGAUUAUGUGAGGUUUUGGAAAAUGACUUUUGGGAUGGUUGAAACAUGAAAUUUUUGUAGAUUAUAAUAGUGCCAAGUGUUAGGAGCAUGUAGGCGAAAACGGCAUCGAAAACGGAUUAACGGUUUGAUUUUUAUGCGCGAAAACGUAGAAGUUGAAUUUUGCAUAGUCUGCUACUGUCAAAAUCAUGAAGCGAUCUUACAAAUCGUGAGGUGAUUUUGACAGAAACAACAAAUUUUCUGCAUAGCCUGAUGUUGUCGAAUCAUGAAGCGAUUUCGCAAAUCAUGAGGCGAUUUUGACAGCAACAUCAAAUUUUUCUACUCAGUCUGAUGCUGUCAAAAUCAUGAAGCGAUCUUACGAGUCAUGAAGCGAUUUUGGCAGCCUAGAAACCUUAAAAAUGCAAUUUUCUUUGAUCCAAUUACUUCCAAACUUCUUCCUAAGUGUAGGGACUUUAUCCUAAUCAUCUAGGGAUGUUUUUAUGAAAGAAAUAGCUUUGUAUUAAGGGCUUAGUGAGUCCUUGUGUUUUCUUGACUUUAAUGACACAUUAUAAUAUGAAUCUUUGCAAAACUUGAAUUUAAGUGAGUUGGCCUAUGAAACGUUGAUGUAUACACUACUGCUCUCAUAUGUGAUUUGUGUAUAUACAUGGUUGAGGUCCUAGAGUUUAUUUAUUUGGUUUUAGUUCAUUUGUUCUAAUCAUGUAAAAGGUGAUAUUUCGGGUGGGAAUGUGAAAAGUUGUGAAAUGGAGUUUUUCAUACGAACUUAAGUUGUUCUUGGAUUAAUGUUUAAUGAUCCGGAGGUAACUUAAACUCAUGACUACAUGAUUGAUUAAGAUUGUUUGACAGCUUUGAACUUGUCUAAGUUGCUUUGUCUUGGGAAUUAUCAAUGUUGGCCGUUUGCCACUUGAUACGGUUUUUAGUCGGAAAUAUUUUUUUGAACCAAUUGUCUUAAGAAUUGUGGUGGCUAUGUUUAUAUAACUAAGUGAAGUUGUAUGAAUGAAUGAUUGUUUUGGAUAUGAUGUUUAUCAUGAGAUGUGCAUGCUAUCUUACUUAGAAUGUAAGGAAUGCUUGAAUGGUGAAACUAUAUGUGAUAGUUGAUGUUGAAUGGUUAUAAGUUGAAUAUGAUAUUAACAUGAGGUGUUGUAUGUUCUCUUACUUGGUAUAUGAGAAAUAUUGUAAUGAUGUGAUGAUAUUGAUGAAUCCAUAUACAUUGUUUAUUAUGAUAUGGUGGGUGAAUAUAUAUAUAUGAUGUUGUGAAUUGUUGGUGAGUUCAUAUAUGUCGAGAAAUGAUGAAUUGGUGUGAAUGCAUUUAUGCAAGUAAUAUUGAUGAGAAUAUGGUGAGUUGUUUGUAUGAACAUAUGUAUCGUUGUUGAGAUAUAUGUUUAUUUAUACAUAACUGAUGGUGACGGAUUUUACAUCCAAUGUGGUGAGUUGUUUGUGUGAACAUAUGCAUUGUUGUUGAGUCAUAUGUUCAUGCAUACAUGACUGAUGGAGACGGAUAUUUUUAUAUAUCCAAAUGGUGAGAUUAUGAUGUUCUGUCGGCAUCAUGGGCGACGACCUAAAUAUUGGUGAGACCGGUACCGCAUGCAUCUAGAAGAGUCUAGAACAUUGCAUGCAUUUGAUUGGUUGAUGAAGUAUGUCAUAAUUGAAUAUGUGACUUGAUGAAAUGUGAUUGGUGAUUGUUCAUGAUGUAUAUGAUUGGUGAUUGUGUAUGAAUAACUGUGAAUUGAUAUUUGUCAUGACACAUGUGAUUGGUUAUUAUUGAUGUGAGAUAUUGGGGUUUGAUGUAAGUAUUGAUUUGAGAAUAUUAUUAUUAAUCAAGUGCAUGAUGUUUAUAUUGAAAUAAUCAUGUUAACUGUUAUUUGGAUUAUGUUGAUGUAAUACUUACCCCCAGUGGAUCUGUUAUGGACCGCCUGCCUAUCUGUAUGGAUGGGUAGACGUUGUGCAGGUGUAGUAGCUUGGUGAGUUCUUGCUGUUGGUGGAUAGUGGGAGCUUUCUCCGCUAUCGGGUCUUAGAGUAGAGUUGGCUCUGAUCUAGGGUUUUGUUGUUAGCUCUAGAUCUUGUUGGAUUAUUUUUAUGCUUUGAGAUUUUGUCCAUGUGUCGGACUUGGAGAUUUUAUACUUAUGUAUUUUGAGAUCACUGGACAUGUAUGUUUGAUGUAUGAGAUUUGUAUCCGCUGCGACUGAUGAGGUUUUAUAUACAUGCAUGUUGACCGUUGAUUUGUUUUUGAUUUACUUUGUUUUGGUGAAAGUAGCGACUAUCUCUUGAAUAUAUGAAUUAUUCGCAUGUUUAAUUGCUUUAUUAGAAGUAGGGCGUUACAGCGAGCAGAUGUGCUCGCGAGGCGAGUUGCCCAGUACCUGAAGCCAUUUGUUAUGUUUUGAAUAGAAAUGAAUGAACUUGAUGUAGACGUUUGAUUAUAGUUAAUUGUAUUACUUUCUGGAGCUAUUGAAUUAUUUAUGAUGAUUGGUUGAUGACUGUGAUGUAUGUUUAUAUCUAAUUGAAACAUACAUGUUGUUGAUUUGUUGGGUUGUAAGUCAUAUAUAUAUAUAUAUAUAUAUAUAUAUAGGGUGUUUCAAAUGAGAUGACUUUUUAAAUGAGAGGGUGAGAGGAUGAAACAUGAGCCUUUAGAUUAAAUACACGGUUUAGAUUAGAUUUUAAUUUUGACAAAAAAUCACGUGACUCUCUCUUUCAUUUUCUCUCCCACAUUAACUAUGACUCUCACUCUUCCAUCUCUUCUUCUGGUGAAACGAGCUCCCCCUCUCAAUUUCCUACCUCACCUUCUCUUCUUGUUGCAACAAACAGAAAUCAGUGAAAAUUUGUUCACAGUUGCCGUAACUUUCUUGUUCUUAAAUCUUAAUUUUAUUUUCCCGGUCAUCUCUUCAACUCUGCUCCUAGAUUCGCUUAAAUCUCUAUAAUUCUACACAUUACUUCUCAUCGCACAAAUCUACCUCACCAUCUCCUUCUCUUCUCGCCGCCAUGAACACAACUGGUAAAGACGAAAAAGUUGUUUGCCAUCGUCGAUUUUUGAAAAAUCCCCGACUGAUGGGUUGAAGGAAUUGAUAGGUUAGAAGACCUAAUGUUUAAGGAAUUGAUGACCUAAUGUUUUUGUAAUUAAACUUUGCAGUGUUGAUUUAAAUUAACGUUGCUACUGUCUAUUAAAGAUUACUGCCAGUGCUUAGUUCAGAUCAAGAAGUUUGAUUGAAAUUGUAUAAGAUUAUUGCUAGCUGCAUAAUUUGAUAUCCGAACAUUUGAAAUCCUGGAAAUUUAACUAAUAAAACUAAAUAGGCCUCUUAAAAGGACAAUUGAAAUUGCUACUGCAUAAUCAGAUUGUUUCCAAAUUAAAUCAUCUUCAGAUGGGACUUUGGGAAUGUUCACAUUAGCUAGUUCAAUUGUAAAAACUGGACAGUUAUACAUCAGAGCCACAUUAGCUAGCUUAAAUCAAUAUCAGUACUGAUGGUGUAAUUAUAUGGAUAUUUUAUAAGGCUUUUAUAGUUUUGUAUCAGUACUAGUAUAACAGUAACAAAUUUUGCAUUAUUAAUAUGUUAAAAGUCUUUCAUAGUUAAGUAAUUUAAAUUGCCUUUUAUAAGGCUUUUGUAUCAGUAACAUAUUUUGGUUAAUAUUCAUGUUAUAAGGCUUUUAUAAGUCUUUCACAAUCAAGUCAAGAUUUGUUACCAUUCCUACCUACACUUCCAACAACCAAUUAAUUACCCAUCAUACUCUUUGUAACCUGUUAAAUUUUUUUCCCAAAAUAACUCUUCAUGAUCACCCUCCAAUUUUAAAGACUUCAUAAUCAGAUUGUUAAAAUAAAAUUCAAAAUUUGAUUAAGAAGAACACCACAAAAUUUUGAUCUUUCAGAUGCAAACAAAAAUUUGAGGUUGUUAUUAUAAAAUUCGAAGGAUGGGUAUUUCUGGAACCCUAAUUUGCAAUGGUACCAGAGCAAACAAAAGGAAACGAAUAACAUAGAAGACGGUUGGGGGUCUUUUGCAGAAAACACGAAUUAAAAGAAAAAGAUAUGUACUCUAAAUAUGCGAGAUAUAUAAGAUAUAUUCCUUGGACUCUUCACGUUUUCUUACCUUGUUCUAGCUGUUAAGCUUCGUUUCCCCUAGAAGAGAAGAUGGAAGAGUGAGAGUCAUAGUUAAAGUGGAAGAGAGAAUGAAAAGAGAGUCACGUGAUUUCUGUUAAAUUAAAAUCUAAUCUAAACCGUGUAUUUAAUCUAAAGGAUCAUGUUUCAUCCUCUCACCCUCUCAUUUAAAAAGUCAUCUCAUUUGAAACAUCCUAUAUAUAUAUAUAUAUAUAUAUAUGCAUUGUUGAGUUGUAUGUAGAUAUACACAAGUUGAGUCCAUUGCAUAAACAUGAAGCGGUGAGAGAUCAUGCCCUGGAACACCUUGUCGUUCAAAGCGGGAGGGCUCACGCCCUGGAACACCUUGUUGUUCAAAUUGGUGAGGGCUUAUGCCAUAUGAAUACUUUAAGCAUUCAAAUUCGGUGAGGGCCUCUGCCCUGUAAAAUGGUACCACAUGCAUAGUCGCAUUUGUUGAGGAGUCUUAGUGGUGUUGUCAUGUUAUUGCAUGAGUCGUUGUUGAUGAUUGAGUAGUACUUUCAUGCUAUUGAUUGAAGUUGAAUAUGUUGACAAUGAUGUGAUCAUGAAAUAUAAAUAUAUAUAUAUAUAUAUAUAUAUAUAUAUAUAUAUAUUGAAAUGUUGAUGAUAUUUAGGGUGUUAGAUUCAAUUGAUGAAUUAUAUAUCUAUUAUUAUUGUUUGUGAAUCUCACCCCUUCUGCUUGGAAAUGUUGCCCUUUCUAUGGGUAACUUGCAGGUAUCCAGAGUAGUAGAUGGUGGCUCAAGUGUCUAAGGCUCUGAUACGUAACGGGAUGAGAAAUAGUUGUUUAAUUUUCAUUCCUUAUGUAUCAUAUUUUGGAACAUGUUGUGGAGCCCUCAUUUAGUUGUUUGAAAUAACCUUUGAUGAAUAAUCUAUUGAGGCUUUUAUACCAGGAUUGUUAUUUGGAGAAUUAAACGUUUGAUGUUGAUGUUAUUUAUUAUUGAAAAAAAAAAUAUUCCGCUGCAAGGUUUUGGUGAAACUAAUAAAGUUGAUGUUUAUUAAAUAGUAUUUUAUUCUAUUUAAGAAUUUUGAAAUAGCAGUGUAGCAUGCCCGUUUUGGUGACAAACUCUUAUUUAUUAUUAUAUUUAUAUUAUUGGGUUAACGGGGUGUUACAAUUGGUAUCAAAGCCUGGUUGGUCCGUCCGGCCAAGUAGUAGAGUCGUGCUGAGCCACAUAGGAUAGAGUGUCAACUUUAAGUUGUCUUUUGUUGUUCUGAUUGUUGUUUCUUAUGUUGAAUUUUGAGAUGGCUGGGAGAAACGAUGCUGCUAUUGCUGCUGCACUUGAGGCUGUUGCUCAAGCUGUAGGAUAGCAACCGAACGCCGCUGCUGGUAACGAUGGUGUGAGGAUGUUGGAGACCUUUUUGAGGAACCAUCCACCAACAUUUAAAGGGAGGUAUGACCCUGAUGGAGCUUGUAACACCCCGUAUUCUAACUUAAAAAUUUCACAUAUAAAUCAGAGUAUUUCAACAUAAACGGAAUGUCACACUUCUUUUCUUAAAAUCAUAAACGGAAUAAAAUAACUAUUUAUCCUUCAAAAUUCAACGUCAUAAUAUUUAUUACUUCGCAGCGAAAAUUAUUCAACUUUUAAACAACUUUGGCACAAGGGCCUCAACAUAAAAUCUCUUAAAAUUCUUCCAACAACAUGUUCAUGAUAAUUCAUAAAAUAAUACGUAAGGAAUAGAAAGCAACAACAAAAUCCCAUCCCAUUACGUAUCAGAGCACCUAAGACACACGAGAGAGAAAUCUCACACGACAUCAACUAUUCUUGGUUACCUGCAAUUUACCCAUGGUGGGCUACAUUUCCAAGCAGAAGGGGUGAGAUUUCACAUUCAAUAAUAAUAAGCAUAUAAUUCAUCAAAAGCAUUUAACAACUUAAACAUCAUCAAUUAAUAAUAAUAAUUCUUCAUAUAGUACUUCCUUAAUAGCUUAAUCAAAUUCUAGUCAUCAUUAAAAUCAUAUUCAUCACAUCAUAUACAUUCAUCAUAUAACAACAUAAACAACACAACAUAAAGAUCAUCUUAUAACAACAUAAACAACACAUCAUAAAGAUCAUCUUAUAACAACAUAAGAUCACAUCAUAAAAAUCAUCUCAUAACAACAUAAUCAUCACUUCAUAAAAUCUUCGCUUAACAAUAUCAUAAUCAAUAUCAUAAACAACAUCAUAACAACAUCAUAAUCAACAUCAUAUAGCAUCAUAACAACAUAACAACAUCAUAAUCAACAUCAUAUAGCAUCAUAAUAACUUCAUAUAAUCAACAUCGUAAACAACAUCAUAACAUUAUAAUCAAUAUCAUAAACAACAUUAUAACAACAUAACAACAUCAUAAUCAACAUCAUAUAGCUUCAAAACAUCAUAUAAUCUUCAUAAGCACUUCAUUAACAACACAUGGGUAGAAGACAACUCAACAACUUAACAACUCAUGGAUGACAAUUCGUCAACAACUUAACAACUCAUGGAUGACAAUUCCUCAACAACUUAACAACUCAUGGAUGACAACUCAUCAACAACGACUUUGACUCGGCAAUGCAACUUCGACUUGACUAUGCAACUUAGACCUCUUAUAUGCAUGUGGUACCAAUACAGGGCAUCAAGCCCCCAUCGAUAAUUGAGUAUUAAUAUACUUCCAGGGCAUCAAGCCCCCAUCGCAAUUUGAGCUAAAGCUCCAUCGUGUUGAGUACAAAGCUCCAGGGCAUCAUGCCCCCCAACAAAUGAAAUGCUAAUGUAUGGACUCGACCUCUUAAACAUCUUAAAUCGACAACCUCUUAUAUAAUCCAAUAAUUUGGAACAUCAUCAUCUUCAUCAACUUAGACAACAUCAACAACUUAAGACUCCAAUACUUUGGAAUACUUUGGAAUGACAACUUACAACUUUACAACUUAGACCAACACCUGCAACUUGAUCAAUAUUCAACAGCAACAGAAACAUUACAAGCAAUUCACAACAUAACAAUAUUAAUGAGAAGCAUCAACAACUCAAACAUCAUACAUUUUCCACAUAAGGCAUAUAAAUAUUUCACAUAACCAACAACAGCAACAUAGGCAGCACGUAAACAUCUCAAGAUAUAACAAUAUCAAAUGAUAAUCAACAACAACUUAAACAUCUUAUAUAAUUCACAUAAUGCAUAUACAAAUAUAUUACAUUACCAUCAAUAUCAAAUCAUAUUCAUCAACAUAUACAUUCAUAUAAUAAAUCAUCAAUCAUGAACAACAUUAUUUCUAUAUCAUACAAUAUUCACAUAAUAUAUGUAUCUCAAAUUAUUCAACAAAGAUAUUCACGUCCAACCAAAUUAGAUCCAUCACAACAAAUGUUAAAUACUCUUAAACCCCUUAAUUAAACUCCUAGUACUUCUAGUUUUGAGGUUUGGAAUUAUUCCAUAAGUUUUGGAUUAACUUUGAAACGGUUAUGCUGAAUUUUCAUAAAAUUUCACUAAGACCUACUUGGAGUCCUUUCAUCAUAUCUCAAGAACCAAAGUUCAUUUUCAUGUCAAAGCAAAGCCACUGGAAAGCUAACUCAAUUAUCUACAACUUUAAUGUUUACACCAAAGGCUAAUUCAAAACAGAAACGUGUGUAAAAGACGCAAGAACAUGAAACAGGACAUGCUGUCAGAGAGCAACUCGGGAAAAACCCAUUUUUCACCCCAAAAUUCCAAUUUUAACUUCUCUAUGCCAAAAUUUGAUCCAAAAACUUGUCUAACCAUUUCUAUACAUGUUAAGGCACUCAAAAUCACAUAAAAGAUGACCCAAAAUAUUAUUUUACAAAAAUCACAUUUUUCAUAAAAGUUCUUAAGAACAACAAAAGUUCACUUCAAGCUCUAUGGUUAAGAUUACCCAAGGUUUCAAUUAUAUAAUCAACAAUUUAUCACUUUUAACCCUAAUUCCCAAAUUCUCAAAACUAAACUACAACAUGUUAAAUACAAUUUUCAGAAUUAAAACACUUAGAAUUAUUGAAGGCUAGUCCCACCCUUACCUUGGAUUGAUCGACGAAGGACUCUACCGCUUUCUCUUCUCUAAAAGGACAUUAAACAGAAGAGGAAUUAUGGUCUUAAGAACACUCUUAAUUCCGAAGGGACAGAAGGGAGUAGAAAAAGAAGAAAGACUCGUCAACACAAGUCAAAAGAGGGAGAAGAGAAGAAAAGCACAGGAAGCAUCAACUGUGAAUUUCAAAGUGUAGAAUGCACUGUGUGAGUUCUCUAUUUAUAGAGAUAGUUUACAACUAAUAAGUGAGAAACUUUGGAAACAAGUAAUGCAUCUAGUACUUAAAUAUCUCAAUUGAGUACCAAAAUAUAUUAUAUUAAGUACAAAAAUAUAUUAUUCAGUACAGAAAUAUAUUAUUGAGUAUCAAAAUAUAUUUCAAAGCAUGCACUAAAAUAUAUUAGAUUGCCUACCAAAAUAUUUCAGAUUGUGUUGCAAAACAUUCUAGCUCUCCCCUUUUAUAAAAAUCCUUUACCUACUUAUUUUUGUCUUAUAUCCAAAUCUGCCCCCCAAAAUCUCAAUAUUCUAUUCUAAUAUAUAUAUAUAUAUAUAUAUAUAUAUAUAUAUAUAUAUAUAUAUAUAUAUAUAUAUAUAUAUAUAUAAUAUUUCUAUAAAAAAUAACAAUUAUAUCUCUAUAACAAAUAUAUUUCUAUAAUAUAUAUAUUUCUACAUCAAAUAAGAAAUAUAUUUCUACACCAAAUAACAUAUAUUUCUAAAACAAAUAACAUAUAUUUCUACAACAAAUAACAUAAUAUUUCUUCACCAAAUAACAUAUAUUUCUACAACAAAUAACAUAAUAUUUCUUCACCACAUAACAUAAUAUUUCUACAACAAAUAACAUAAUAUUUCUUCACCAAAUAACAUAUAUUUCUACAACAAAUAAUAUAAUAUUUUCUACAUAUAUUUUCAUUUAUUCCACUAAACUCUUCUAGUUUCCAAAACAGCCCCCACAACUUAAUCUUAUUUUCUUUUCAAAUCUUAUUCUAUUAAAUAAUAAAAUAAGCCUCUUAAUAAAUUAACAACACCUCACAAAAAUCAUAUAAAUGACAUAAGUCAUAAAAAUAGACUCUAAACUCAAUAAAAUAAUUAAAUAUUAAAAUAGGGCAUUACAGAGCUCAGAAGUGGCUCAAAGAGGUUGAGAGGAUUUUCAGAGUCAUGCAAUGCAGUGAGGUGCAGAAGGUGCGGUUUGGUACGCACAUGUUAGCUGAAUAGGCAGAUGAUUGGUGGGUAAGUCUUUUACCCGUGCUUGAACAGGAUGGUGCUGUCAUGACCUGGGCUGUGUUCAGGAGAGAAUUUCUGAAUAGGUAUUUUCUGGAGGAUGUCCGAGGUAAGAAGGAGAUUGAGUUUCUGGAAUUGAAACAGGGGGACAUGUCUGUGACGGAGUAUGCUGCGAGGUUUGUGGAACUCGCUAAGUUCUAUCCUCACUAUACUGCGGAGACUGCUGAGUUCUCCAAAUGUAUAAAGUUUGAAAAUAGUUUGAGAGCUGAUAUCAAGAGGGCUAUUGGCUAUCAAAAGAUAAGGAAUUUCUCUGAGUUGGUGAGUAGCUGCAGGAUAUAUGAAGAGGAUACGAAAGCUCAUUACAAGGUGAUCAGUGAGCGCAAAGGUAAGGGACAGUAGAGUCGUCCGAAGCCGUAUAGUGCCCCUGCUGACAAGGGUAAGUAGAGACUGAAUGAUGAGAGGAGGCCUAAGGGGAGAUAUGCUCCUACUGAGAUUAUUUGCUUCAAGUGUGGUGAGAAAGGCCACAAGAGUAAUGUGCGUCAUCGAGAUGAGAAGAAGUACUUUAGGUGUAGUCAGAAAGGACACACAUUGGCUGAUUGCAAGCGUGGGGAUAUUGUUUGCUACAACUGUAAUGAGGAAGGACAUAUUAGUUCGCAGUUUAUGCAGCCUAAGAAGGUUAGGACAGGUGGCAAGGUAUUUGCGUUGACUGGUACGCAAACUAUGAAUGAGGACCGACUUAUCAGAGGUACUUAUUUCUUUAAUAGUACUCCUUUAAUUGCUAUUAUAGAUACUGGUGCUACUCAUUGUUUCAUUGUUGUUGAUUGAGCAUAUAAGUUGGGUCUGGUUGUAUCUGAUAUGAAUGGAGAAAUGGUUGUUGAAACUCCAGCUAAGGGUUUAGUAACUACUUCUCUUGUUUGUUUGAGUUGUCCAUUGUCUAUGUUUGGUAGAGAAUUGAAGUCGAUCUAGUAUGUCUGCCGUUGUCGGGUAUGGAUGUGAUUUUUGGGAUGAACUGGUUAGAGUAUAACCGUAUUCAUAUUAAUUGCUUUAGUAAGACGGUGCAUUUUUCUUCUGCUGAGGAAGAGAGCGAAGCUGAGUUCUUGACUACAAAACAGUUGAAGCAGUUAGAACGUGAUGAAAUUCUAAUGUUUUCUUUGAUGGCGUACUUGUCAUUGGAGAAUCAAGCUGUGAUUGAUAGAUUGCCGGUUGUGAGUGAAUUUCCAGAAGUUUUUCCUGAUGAGAUUCCAGAUGUGCCACCAGAGAGGGAGGUUGAAUUUUCAAUCGAUCUUGUGCCUGGAACGAAGCCGGUGUCGAUGGCACCUUACCGUAUGUCGGCGUCCGAGUUAGCUGAAUUGAAGAAACAGUUGGAGGACUUGCUUGAUAAGAAAUUUGUAAGACCAAGUGUUUCACCGUGGGGAGCGCCGGUGUUGUUGGUUAAGAAGAAGGAUGGUAGCAUGAGGUUGUGUAUAGAUUACUGUCAGCUGAAUAAAGUGACGAUAAAGAAUAGGUAUCCACUUCCGAGGUUUGAUGAUUUAAUGGAUCAGUUAGUGGGUGCUCGUGUGUUCAGCAAGAUUGAUUUGAGGUCAGGUUACCAUCAUAUUAAGGUGAAGGAUGAGGAUAUGCAGAAGAUGGCCUUUAGGACACAAUAUGGUCAUUAUGAAUAUAAGGUGAUGCCUUUCGGUGUUACUAAUGCGCCUGGUGUGUUUAUGGAGUAUAUGAAUAGAAUUUUCCAUGCUUAUCUGGAUAAAUUUGUGGUUGUGUUUAUUGAUGACAUCUUAAUUUAUUCUAGACUGAAGAAGAGCAUGCAGAGCAUCUGAAGAUUAUGUUGCAAGUGUUGAAAGAAAAGAAGUUGUAUGCCAAGUUGUCAAAAUGUGAAUUUUGGUUAAGUGAAGUAAGUUUUCUUGGCCAUAUUAUUUCUAGUAGUGGUAUUGCAGUUGAUCCAUCAAAAGUUGAUGCAGUAUCACAAUGGGAGACUCCGAAAUCAGUUACAGAGAUUAGAAGUUUCUUGGGUUUGGCUGGUUAUUACCGCAGGUUCAUAGAAGGAUUUUCGAAGUUAGCACUUCCAUUGACUCAGUUGACCUGUAAAGGGAAAUCUUUCCUGUGGGAUGCUCAGUGUGAGAAUAGUUUCAAUGAAUUGAAGCGAAGGUUGACUACUGCUCCAAUUUUAAUUUUACUGAAGCCAGAAGAACCUUUUGUUGUUUAUUGUGAUGCGUCCAAGUUGGGCUUAGAUGGUGUUUUGAUGCAAGAUGGCAAAGUGGUAGCGUAUGCUUCUAGGCAGUUGAGGAUUCAUGAAAAGAAUUAUCUUACACAUGAUUUGGAGUUGGCUGCGGUGGUUUUUGUUUUGAAAAUUUGGAGACAUUAUUUGUAUGGUUCCAGAUUUGAAGUGUUUAGUGAUCAUAAAAGUUUGUAAUAUCUGUUUGAUAAAAAAGAGUUGAAUAUGAGGCAGAGAAGAUGGCUUGAGUUGUUGAAGGACUAUGAUUUUGGGUUGAAUUACCAUCCGGGUAAAGCUAAUGUGGUUGCAGAUGCUUUGAGCAGGAAGACGUUACACAUGUCUACUAUAAUGGUAAAGGAGUUUGAGUUACUUGAACAGUUUAGAGACUUAAGUCUUGUUUGUGAGUUGUCACCUCAGAGUUUACAGUUGGGUAUGCUGAAGAUUAAUAGUGAUUUCUUGAGUAGUAUCAGAGAAGCACAACAAGUUGAUGUCAAGUUCGUUGAUUUAAUGGUUACUAGUAAUGAAACUGAAGAUAGUGACUUCAAGGUUGAUGAUCAGGGUGUGUUGAGGUUCAGAGGAAGAAUUUGCAUUCCUGAUAGUGAUGAUUUGAAAAAGUUGAUUUUAGAGGAAAGUCACAGAAAUAGCCUAAGUAUUCAUCCAGGAACUACAAAGAUGUAUCAUGACUUGAAGAAGUUGUUUUGGUGGUCUGGGUUGAAACGUGAUGUUGCUCAGUUUGUUUAUGCGUGUUUGACUUGUCAGAAGUCUAAGGUUGAGCAUCAGAAGCCUGCGUGGUUGUUGACACCGUUAGAUGUGCCAGAGUGGAAGUGGGACAACAUUUCCAUGAAUUUUGUGACGAGUUUAUCGAAUACUCCGAGAGGGCAUGAUGCCAUUUGCGUUGUUGUCGAUAGGUUAACGAAGUCGGCACACUUUAUUCCGAUCAAUAUUAGUUUUCCGGUAGCUCAGUUGGCGGAGAUUUAUAUUCAUAAUAUUGUGAAGUUGCAUGGUGUUCCAUCGAGUAUUGUGUCGGAUAGAAAUCCGAGGUUCACUUCUAGAUUUUGGAAGAGUUUGCAAGAUGCAUUGGGUUCAAAGUUAAGGUUGAGUUCGGCUUAUCAUCCGCAAACAGAUGGUCAGUCGGAGAGAACAAUUCAAUCGUUAGAGGAUUUGAUGAGAGUGUCUGUACUCGAGCAAGGUGGAGCUUGGGAUAGUCAUCUACUGUUGAUAGAGUUCACGUACAACAACAGUUACCAUUCGAGUAUUGGUAUGGCACCGUUCGAAGCUUUGUAUGGUCGGAGGUGCAGGACUCCUUUAUGUUGGUUUGAGUCAGGAGAAAGUGUAGUGUUGGGACCGUAUUUGGUUCAUCAGACUACGAAGAAUGUCAAGAUGAUAAGCGAAAAGAUGAAAGCGUCGCAGAGUCGACAGAAGAGUUACCAUGACAAGCGUAGGAAGGCGCUUGAGUUUCAAGAGGGAGAUCAUGUGUUUCUGAGAGUCACUCCUAUGACGGGUGUAGGACGUGCAUUGAAGUCUAAGAAGUUGACUCCAAAGUUUAUUGGUCCAUAUCAGAUAUCUGAAAGGGUUGGAACAGUGGCAUAUAGAGUGGGUUUGCCACCACAUCUUUCGAAUUUGCCUGAUGUGUUUCAUGUGUCGCAACUUUGGAAGUAUGUAGCGGAUCCUUCGCAUGUUAUUCCGAGAGAUGAUGUGCAGGUUAGAGACAACCUUACAGUUGAGACCUUACCUUUGAGAAUCGAAGACCGUGAGGUGAAGAAGUUAAGAGGCAAGGAUAUACCUCUAGUGAAGGUUGUUUGGGGAAGUGUAACCGGUGAAAGUUUGACUUGGGAGCUGGAGAGUAAGAUGCGGGAGUCUUAUCUCGAGUUGUUUGCUUGAGGUAAUAUUUCGAGGACGAAAUUCUCUAAGUUGGGGAGGGUUGUAACGCUCUAGUCGUUAUUUAUUUAAUUAUGAUUUAUUUAGAGUCUUUUUAUGAUUUUAAAUAAUUAUUGUUGAUUAUGUGGUGUGUUAUAUUUUAUUAUAUGGUUUAUUUUGACAUUAAUUAGAAUAAGUAAGAAUUAUUAUUAUUUUGGAGUUUGGGGAUUAAAUUAGAAUUAAUAGAAUUAAGGGGGAGUUAAAUGAAAUAAAGGGGAGUUAAGAAUAGGAGUAAGGAAAAAAGAGAAGUCAGAAAUUGUUUUACGUACAACAGAGUUUUGGGAGAAAAAUCAAGAACAAGGGAGAAGAGCCAAGAGAACCAGAAUUUGUAGAGAUUGUUCAUCUGAUUUAAGGUAAGGGUGAGGUUUACUUUCAAUAGUGUAGAUUAUAAUUCUGAUUUUAGUUUAACAUAGUUCUGGUUAAAAUUGGGAAUUUGGGUUUAGAUUAUGAUUCUUUGAUUUUGGAUGGAAAAGAGUGUUGAAACCAUUGUUUUAGUGUUAGGAAUGUGUUCAGAUUGCAUACAGCAUGUUAUUACACUUCUGUAAACUGUUUUGGGGAGUGAAUUGAGAACAUUGGGUUUUGGGGAAAAACCUGCAUCUGCCCGUACAAACAUUCAUCGCUCGCCCCGGCGAGUAGCCUGUCUCGCCUCGCGAGUGAGCAAUCUUCAUGGCUCGCCUCGCGAGCAGAACCACUCGCCAUGGUGAGUUAGUGAGUGAGAACCUUGAUUUUUAAAUUGUUGUUAUAAGGUAUAAGUUGGUUAGUUUUGAGUGCCUGGAUGUUUCUAGAGAGGACUGGGACAAUUUUCAGAUUAAAAAGAUGAAUAGGGAGCUUAAAAAUGAAGUAUUAGUGAGAAAAAUGUCAAAACUCCCGAGAGCACCCUUUUUCUCGUUCGCCUCAUACUCGUUACGGUGAGUAACCUUUUUUCGGAGUUCGCCAUAGCGAGCAUAUGUGCGCGCGUGGCAAGUUGCCCAGUACCUGAAGCCAUUUGUUAUGUUUUGAAUAGAAAUGAAUGAACUUGAUGUAGAAGUUUGAUUAUAGUUAAUUGUAUUACUUUCUGGAGCUAUUGAAUUACUUAUGAUGAUUGGUUGAUGACUGUGAUGUAUGUUUAUAUCUAAUUGAAACAUACAUGUUGUUGAUUUGUUGGGUUGUAAGUCAUAUAUAUAUAUAUAUGCAUUGUUGAGUUGUUUGUAGAUAUACACAAGUUAAGUCCAUUGCAUAAACAUGAAGCGGUGAGGACUUAUGCCCUGGAACGCCUUGUCGUUCAAAGCGGGAGGGCUCACGCCCUGGAACACCUUGUUGUUCAAAUUGGUGAGGGCUUAUGCCCUGUGAAUGCGUUAACCAUUCAAAUUCGGUGAGGGCCUCUGCCCUGUAAAAUGGUACCACAUGCAUAGUCGCAUUUGUUGAGGAGUCUUAGUGGUGUUGUCAUGUCAUUGCAUGAGUCGUUGUUGAUGAUUGAGUAGUACUUUCAUGCUAUUGAUUGAAGUUGAAUAUGUUGACAAUGAUGAUAUUUAGGGUGUUAGAUUCAAUUGAUGAAUUAUAAAUCUAUUAUUAUUGUUUGUGAAUCUCACCCCUUCUGCUUGGAAAUGUUGCCCUUUCUAUGGGUAACUUGCAGGUAAUCCAGAGUAGUAGAUGGUGGCUCAAGUGUCUAGGGCUCUGAUACGUAACGGGAUGGGAAAUAGUCGUUUAAUUUUCAUUCCUUAUGUAUCAUAUUUUGGAACAUGUUGUGGAUCCCUCAUUUAGUUGUUUGAAAUAACCUUUGAUGAAUAAUCUGUUGAGGCUUUUAUACCAGGAUUGUUAUUUGGAGAAUUAAACGUUUGAUGUUGAUGUUAUUUAUUAUUGAAAAAAAAAUAUUCCGCUGCAAGGUUUUGGUGAAACUAAUAAAGUUGAUGUUUAUUAAAUAGUAUUUUAUUCUAUUUAAGAAUUUUGAAAUAGCAGUGUAGCAUGCCCGUUUUGGUGACAAACUCUGAUUUAUUAUUAUAUUUAUAUUGUUGGGUUAACGGGGUGUUACAAUAUGUAGAAAUGUUUUUAAUGUUAUGUAAGAACUUGGAACCCUCGUUUUGUUGUUGAAAUUGAAAAUAAGCAAUUUUGUGAAAAUAGACGAACUUUGUCAAAAUGAGCUUUUAUGAUCUUAUACCUUGUGAUUGGUUUUUUAUUCAUGAUAAUAUGAUAAAAUACGAAUGAAUCAAUGUUGGAUUGGUGUGUAAUAUAUUGGUUAUCAUGAUUGGUGAAUUGUGGUAUGUGAAACCAUAAUGUUUCUUUGUGGUGAUAAAUGUUGAUGAUUUUGAUGAUGACGCUUUGUUGAUCAUAUCGAUUGAAGAUAAUAUUGCUUAUUCCUUUAGUUUAUGUUUUUAUGAUGUCUAAGAUAACUAGGUUUAUUUGAUGAUGUUCUUUUUUGUUGAUUAGCUUUAGCUUUAAAACUUGUUAAAGUAGUCUAGCAAACCAUGUCUCAUAGUGUCAUGUGAUUCUUUGAUAUCUUGUGUGUUGUCAUAUAUAGAAAAUCCUUCCAUGAAUUGCUUGAUUCUAUUCAUGAUUCAUUGAUUCAUAUCAAGCGUUCCUUUUGUCCAUUUUCCUUGUGUCACUCCUUUUGAAUCGUGUCAAGUUUUCCUGAAUAGUAUCAUAGUGAAUCAAUUCACAGUUUUUCUGAGUAGUAUUGCAGUGAAUCUAUUCACAGUUUUCCUGAAUCGAUUCACAGUGAAUCGAUUCACAGUUUUCUUAAAUCGAUUCCCAAUUGAAUCGAUUAAAAAAAAGUCUGAAUCGAUUCAAAUGUUGUUAGCAUCAAAUUUUCACUUCUUUCUUGCCUGAAUCGACUCAAAUUUCAGUGAAACGAUUCAUCAAACUCUCUGCCAUGGUCUGGAUCGAUUCAAACUUAUUUUGAAUUGUAUCAAACACCUUCUGGACUAUUUGAGUCGACUAAAUUAUCACUUGAUACGUUUCAUUCUUCAUCAUAAUUUUCCCUUGUCUUAUAUGGUCUGAAUCGAUUCAAAUAGUAAGUGAAUCGAUUCACACAAUUCAUUUGUGCAAAAAUUUGGCCUUUCCCUUGCUCCUAUAUAUUGUACUCUCCUCACAACUCCAAAUUCGUUGAAUCAUUUGCAUCUAUUCUCUCUAGGUCUAAAAAACUCAUUGUUCAUACAUUCUUCAAGAUUAAACACUUUUUCUUAGAAUCAUUUUGUUCUUUGAGUGUAUAGAUUCUCUAGGGUGCUAGUAGGGAUUGUAUGUUGGUUCUCUCAAGAAGACUGAUUGGGCUUAAUCAAGGCUUCAAAGGAAGUGAGUAAUCUCAUUCCACCUCAAAAGGACUUAGGGGUCUUUCUAACUGUUCUUUACCGGACGUAGCAUUGAAGACUCGAGUGAAGAGUUCGAAGGAGUGCACGGAUAAUUCAAGUAUUCGAAGAUUCAAGGAGCACCAAAUUCAAGGGGUACUUGAAGUUUGGCGGAGUGUUUUAUGUAACAGCCCGAUUUUCGUUAGAUUUAUUUUUUAAUUGUUUUAAUAUGUGUUUAUAUGUGCUUGUGUGUGAUUAUUUAUCAUUGGGUGUAUUUUCAUGGGUUUUCGUGUUAGAAGGGUAUUUUGGUCAUUUUUAAGUAAGGGUAAAUUAGUAAUUUUGGUGAGGAUUAUUUUUAGAGUUUUAGUGAGAACCAUUAUUUUACUAAGUUACUAGUGUGGUUAUUAGUAUUUUACCGUUAAGUGAUCGUUGUUGGUAUUUUACCGUUAAGUGAUCGUUAAUAGUAUUUUACCGUUAAGAGUGUAGAAACAUUUUAGAAUUGUGUUUGAGUGGGUUAAGUCCACUAAGGAUUUAGUGUAACGUCCUCUUUGAAUUAUUUGUUUUAUUUGAUUAUUUUAUUAAGUUUAGAGUCUUUUUGAAUAAUUUAUUUGAUUUAUGAUGAUGUGUGUUAUUUUUGUGUUAUAGGUUGGUGUUUUAGUAGCAUAUUAUAUUAUAAUAUAUAUUAUUUGGUGUAGAGAUAUUAUGUUAUUUGUUAGUAUAAUAUAUAUGUUAUUUGGUGUAGAAAUAUAUUAUAUUAUAUUAUAUUAUCUAGUGUAGAAAUAUAUUUGUUAUUUGGUGUAGAAGUAUUUUAUAUAUAUAUAUUAAAAUAGAAUAUUGAGAAUUUGGGGGCUAAUUUGGGAAUUUAGAAGAGUUUAAGAGAAUAAGUGGAGUUAAGAGAAAAUAGGUAAGUUAAGGUUAUAAAAAGAGAAAAGUGAGAAGUCAGAAUAGUUUUUCACGUAGAACCAGUUUUUGGAGAAAAAGGGAGAAAACUUAGAGAAGAGGAGGAACGAGAAGAGAACCUUGCAAUCGAUUUCUUAAGGUAAGGGUGGGACUAACAUUCAAUAAUCUUGAGUCUAUGAUUCUGAAAAUUGUAUUUAACAUGCUGUAGGUUUAGUUUUUGAGAAUUUGAGAAUUAGGGUUAAGGGUGAUGAUUGUGAUGAUUUUGAAUGAAAGUGAAGUUGAAUAAUAUAGGGUGCUUUUUCUGAUUUUUCUUUUCAUCUCUGCCCUGAAUUUGAAAUGAAAUCUGGUAUUGAUUGGUACAGAAUUGGUCUUAGGUGUAAACACAAAAGUUGUAGGUAUGGAUGUUAGCUUUCUAAUUCCGUUGGUUUGAUGUCAAAACGAUUUAUAGAACUUGAGUUAUUGUCAAAUUACUGCACGUAGGUCACAGUGAAUUUUUAUGAAUUUCAGCACAACUUUGUCCGAAUUUGAAAUGAAAACUGGUAUUGAUUGGUACAGAAUUGGUCUUAGGUGUAAACACGAAAGUUGUAGGUAUGGAUGUUAGCUUUCUAAUGCCUUUGGUAUGACGUCAAAAAAAUUUAUAGAACUUGAGUUAUCAUCAAAUUAUUGCACGCAGGUCAGAGUGAAUUUUUAUGAAUUUCAGCACAACUUUGUCCGAAUUUGAAAUGAAAACUGGUAUUGAUUGGUACAGAAUUGGUCUUAGGUGUAAACACGAAAGUUGUAGGUAUGGAUGUUAGCUUUCUAAUUCCGUUGGUUCGACUUCAAAAGGAUUUAUAGAAAUUGAGUUAUGGUCAAAUUUUUGCACGUAGGUCACAGUGAAUAAUUGAAUAUGAUUGAUGAAUUAGUAUAUGUAUGUAUAUGUUUGUGAAUACGAUAUUGUUCAUGAUUGAUGAAGUGUUAUAUGAAUGUAUAUGUUUAUGAGUAUGAUGUUGUUUAUGAUUGAUGAAUUAAUAUAUGUAUGUAUAUGUUGUGAAUACGAUAUUGUCCAUGAUUGAUGAAGUGUUAUAUGUAUAUAUGAUGUUUUAAGAUGUUGAUUAUUAUUUGAUGUUGUUAUAUCUUGAGGUGUUUAAGUGUUGCCUAUGUUGUUGUUGUUGGUUAUGUGAAAUGUUCAUAUGCUUUAUGUGGAGAAUAUAUGAUUUACUUUGAUGAUUAAUGUGAGAAUAUUUAUAUAUUGUGAAAGAUGUUGAUAUGAAGUUGUAAUGGUUGUAUUAGAUGAUUAUUGUUGAUGUUGACUUGCUGUAAAUUAUUUGAUGGUGUUGCCUUGCUGAUGUGAUGUAUUAAUAUCAUUAAGAUGCUAAUGUUGGUUUAAGUUGUAAGAUGUUGAUCCAAAUUAUUGGAGUCAUAAGAGAUGUCUAAGUUGUUAAGUCAAUUGUUAAGAUGUUGAGUCCAUUGCAUACUCAUUUACGUUGGGUGAGGGCUUGAUACUCUAUAUAUUUAUACAUAAUAUGUGAAGGGAGAGGGCUUGAUGCUCUGUGAGCCUAUUUACGCUCAAUAUGUUGGGGGCUUGAUGCCCUGGUUGGUACCACAUGCUUGAUUAAGAAGUUGAAGUUGCGUUGUCGUUGUCGUUAAGUUGUCAUUUGUCAAUGAGUUGUUAAUAAAGAACUAAGUGAAGUAUUAAUAUUUAUUAAUCGUUGUUGUUUAAGUUAUUAUGAGAUGAUAAAUAUGUGUUGUUAUAUUAUGAUGAGAUGAUGAAUAUUUUGUUGUUAUAUUAUUAUAAGAUGAUGAAUAUGUGUUGUUAUAUUAUGAUGAGAUGAUGAAUAUGUUGUUGUUAUAUUAUUAUAAGAUGAUGAAUAUGUGUUGUUUAUAUUAUUAUUAAGUGAUGAUUAUGUUGUGUUGUAUAUGAUUAUUAUUAUUAAGUGAUGAUUAUAUUGUGUGGUCUAAGUUAUUAUGAGAUGAUGAUUACGUUGUGUGUUAAAGAUGAUAUUUAUGAUGUGAUGAUCUAUGUUAGUUAUGAUUUGGUUAUUAUGUGCUAUAUGAUGAAGUUUAUAAUGUGAUGAAUAUGAAGUUAAUGAUAAUUAGAAGUUGGUUGAGUUAUUAAGAAUCAUUACAUAAAGGACUAUUAUUACUAAUAGAUGAAGUUAUUUAUGUUGUUAAAUAUAAUUAAUGAAUUAUAUGCUUGAUAUUAUUGUUUUGUGAAAUCUCACCCCGUCUACUUGGAAAUGUUGCUCUUCGUAUGAGUAACUUGCAGGUGAUCGAGUUUAAGUUGCUAUUAGAUUGCUGUCGUGAGUGGAUUAUCUCUCAUGUGUAUCUUUAGGUGCUCUGAUACGUAACGGGAUGAGAACUUUGUUGCAUGCUUUUCUAUUCCUUACGUAUUGCUUAUGAAUUUACAUGAUUAAGUUGUUAAUUGGAUUUUUAUGAGAUACUUUGAUGAGGCCUUCGUGCCAAAAUUAUUUUUAGAUGUUCGAAUAAAUUCCGCUGCGAAGUAUUGAAUAUUAUGUUAUUGAAUUUUGAAGGAUAAUUAGUUAAUUAUUCCGUUUAUGAUUUUAAAAAAAGAAGUGUGACAUUCCGUUUAUGUGAAUUACUCUGAUUAAUUAAAUGAAAUUUUUACUUUGGGAAAACGGGGUGUUACAUUUAGGGUUAAGCCCAUUAGAGGAAUAGCCUAUAUAAGCCUUGUCUUAAGAGAAAAUAUCAUUCAUUUUUCAUUACAUAAGAUAUUUUGAGAGAGGUAGAGAGAGAAAGUGAGAAAGAAGAGGAAAAAGGGGUUAGAGAAGAAAAAGCUUGAAGAUUCAAGAAUUGGAAGAUAUCCUAUGAGUUAAAGUGAAGCUUAGGUUAGGAAUUGGUGAUAAUUAAGGUAAGGGAAUUAGAAUUCAAUCAUAAUCAUUUUAGUGUAAUUUUUCAAUUAUUGUAUGAAUAAGUGCUUAAUUGAGUAAAUGAUUAAUUGUUCAUAGUUGUCAAAUUCGUGCUCUAAUUAUGGUGAUAUGUUUGAAUGCAUGAAAUUGUUGAUAAUUCAAUUGUUGUUGGUGAAAUUGCAUGUUCAAAGUAUGUGAAAAUGAUAUAUGUUGAACUAUGCUCCAAUUGUUGAUUCAUGCUAUGUUAUUAAGAAUCAUGUUCAAUUGAUGUUGUUGUUGCUAAAUGAUAUUGUUGUUGAUGAUUCAUGGCUUGAGUGUUCAUAAUUCAUGAUUAGAUGAUGAGAAAUGAGUUGUUGGUGGUGGUUUUGUAAAAUGGGUUGAUGAUGAAGAAGUUUUAUUUUAAUGAUGUUGAAUGAGUUAAGGAAGUUGUUACAAUGGAUUAGGAUGAUAUGAUUUUUUGUUUUAAUUGUAACAUCCCAUUUUCCCAACAUAAAAAUUUCAUUUAAAUAAUCAGAGUAAUCGACAUAAACGGAAUGUCACACUUCUUAAAAAUCAUAAAUGGAAUAAUUAACUAAUUUUCCUUCAAAGUUCAAUCAACAUAAAUAUUCAAAACUUCGCAGCGGAAUUUAUUUCAACAUCUAAAAAUAGUAGUCUUUGGCACGAAGGCCUCAUCAUAAAUAUCUCAUAGAAAUCCAGUCUAAAAACAUAGUCAUAAACUUCAUAAAGUAAUACGUAAGGAAUAGAAAAGCAUGCAACAAAGUUCUCAUCCCGUUACGUAUCAGAGCACCUAAAGACACACGUGAGAGAUAGUCCACUCACGACAGCAAUCUAACAGCAGCUUAAACUCGAUCACCUCCAAGUUACUCAUACGAAGAGCAACAUUUUCAAGCAAAACGGAUGCGAUUUCACAAACAAUAAUAUUAAGCAUAUAAUUCAACAAUUAAAUUGAACAACAUAUAAACAUUGUUAAUUAAUAAUAAUAAUUCUUCAUAUAGUGCUUCAUUAAUAGUCGAAUCCACUUCUAAUCAUCAUUAACUCAUUACCAAUAUAAACAACAACAUAAUCAUCAUCUCGUAAUAAUAUAAACAACAACAUAAUCAUCAUCUUAUAAUGACAUAAGCAACAACAUAUUCAUCAUCUUAUAAUAAUAUUAACGACAACAUAAUCAUUAAUAUUCCAUGGUUUGUCAUUAACAACUUCAACGAUUCGACGAUGACAACGUCAACCUUACAAUCAGUUACGUGAGAGUAUACCACCUCUUAUAAUACGACCACGUAAGAGUACACCACCUCUCGCAAAACAACAACAUAAGAGUACAUCACCUCUUAUAAAACAACAACGUAAGAGUACACCACCACUUAUAUAACAACAACGUAAGAGUACACGACCUCUUAUAAAACAACAACGUAAGAGUACACCACCUUUUAUAAAACAACAACGUAAGAGUACACCACCUUUUAUAAAACAACAACGUAAGAGUACACCACCUCUCACAAAACACCUGAACAUAAACAGUCACCAACAACAACUUCAACUAAGACUUCAACAACUUAAACAACAUUAACAACUUAAGACUCCAAUACUUUGGAACACUUUGGAAAGACAACUUACAACUUUACAACUUAGACAAACACCUGCAACUUGAUCAAUAUGCAAUAGCAACAGAAAUAGUACAAAAUAUUCGCAACAUAACAAUAUUAAUGAAAAACACCAACAACUUAAACAUCAUACAUUUUCCACAUAAGGUAUAUAAAUAUUUCACAUAACCAACAACAGCAACAUAGGCAGCACGUAAACAUCUCAAGAUAUAACAACAUCAAAUGAUAAUCAACAUCAACUUAAACAUCUUAUAUAAUUCACAUAAUACAUAUACAAAUAUAUUACAUUACUAUCAACAUUAAAUCAUAUUAUAACAGCUUCACAGAUCAUCAGUAAUAUUAUAUUCAACCUUCAUUCCUACCCCAAGGAUCAACUCACAACAUGGGUUAAAUACUCUUAAACAUCUUAAUUGAACUCAUAGUACUUCUAGUUUUAAGGGUUGGAAUUAUCCCAUAAGUUUUGGAUUAACUUAGAAACGGUUAUGCUGAAUUUUCAUAAGGUUAUGCUGAAUUUUCGUCGAACCAAAGUUAGAAAAUCAGCUCAGAAAUCGGUGGCCGAUUUUGGAAACUCGGUGGCCGAUUUUGAGCUUCACAGCAGUUCAAAAAUCAGUUUAACAAUGCGUUUUUCACUUAAGAAUCACUCUUAAUUCACUAGACUCAAACACAAACUCCCAAAUUUGUUAGGAAACUUAACCUAUGAUUAUUCUACAACCUGAACAUCAAUUCAUAUGUUAAUUCAUUGGAUUACCUACACUUUCAACAAUCAAAUUGCAAUUCAAAACCCUAACUUCUUUUCAAAACUCUAACUUCUUUUCACAACCCUAACUUCAUUAACACCUUAAUUCCAACAAUCAAUUCUACAAUUAAAACAACAAAUUACAACUUCUAAACCUAAUUCCCAAUUUUCCAAAAUCAAGAACAACCCACAUGUUAAAUCAAUUUCAGAAUUUACAUACACUAUAAUUAUUGAAAGUUAGUCUCACCCUUACCUUAAAAAAUCGAUCCGCAGCUCUCUCUUGGUUCUUCUCUCCUCUUGUUCUCCCUUUUCUCCAAAAUUGGUUGUACGUGAAAAUAAUUCUAAACCUAGUUUCUCCUAUUUAUCUCUUCAACCCUCUUUAUCUUAUGUCGACUUAUUCCACUAAGCUCUUCUAAAUUCCAAAACAGCCCCCACAAUCUUAAUCUUAUUUCUAUUUUCAAGACUUAUUCUAUUAAAUAAUAAAAUAACACUACUUAAUAAAAUAACGACACACCACAUAAUCAUUUAAAUCACAUAAAUACUAAAAUAAGCCACUUAAUAAAUCACAUAAUCAUAUAAAUAUAUUUUAAAUCUAUUAAAACAAUCAAAUCAUUCAAAGAGGGCAUUACAACUCUAUCCCCCUUAGAAGAAUUUCGUCCUCGAAAUUCAAAGCACACAAGAAAAUAAAUUCAAUUAUUGCUUAAAUAUCUUAAACUAUAUAUAGCCAAAUAGAAACUUCAAACAAAACUUACAAACCACAUUAAAGUUAAUCAAUCAAACAUGAUCACAUAAUAAACAUAGCCAUUAAUCAGGAAACACAACAACAAUCAAGACAACAUAAGACAGUAUUACAACUGUUACUCAACAAGACACGACUCAACUACUUGGACGGACGGACCAACCUGCUCUGAUACCAUUUGUAACACCCCGUUUUCCCAACAUAAAAAUUUCAUUUAAAUAAUCAGAGUAAUCGACAUAAACGGAAUGUUACACUUCUUAAAAAUCAUAAAUGGAAUAAUUAACUAAUUUUCCUUCAAAGUUCAAUCAACAUUAAUAUUCAAAACUUCGCAGCGGAAUUUAUUGGUGAAAACGAAACUGAAAUCGGAUCCAAAAACAAGAUUUUAUGCGCGAAAACGUAAAAAUGCAUUUUGUUGUACUAGUGAGGUGACACGACCGUCUCAGAUUCUCCUGUAAGGGAUGACACGACCGUGUGUCUAGAUGAUGCGACCGUGUCAGAUUCUCCUGUAAGGGAUGACACGACCGUGUGUCCUGAUGAUGCGACCGUGUCAGUUUUGCAGAAUUCUGAAACCUCAUUUUUUCGUGUUUUUGUGUACUUUUUAGCAUGCCAAUGGAUUCCAAACACCUAACCCUUUUCAAUCAAUUUAUAAUUAAGCUUCUAAGAGUAUCAUAGCUUGAUUCUAACGUGGUUUUGUUUUGAAAAUGAAUUGGUUUUGGAAUAUGGGAGAAACGAUACGAACUUUGCAAAAUUUUAAAAUGUAAGUGAGUUGGCAUAUGAGACGUUGAUGUAUACACUACUGAACUCGUAUGUGAUUUGUGUCUAUACUUAGUUGAGGUUUCCAAAUGUGUUUACUCUGUCUUGUCGAAUUGAAUUUUUAUGAAUUGGAUGAGAUUACAAGUUAAACCUACAGCUCAUAUAGACUUAGGUAAGAUUUGUAAAGUUGGUCAAACAUAUUAAUCAUGUUAAACGUGAAUUUCGGAUGGGAAUGUGGAAAAUGUUAACUUGGGUUUUAUCAUACGAACUUGAUCUAUUCUUUGAACUAAUGUCUAAUAGUUUGUAAGUGGCUUAAGCUCUUGAUUACAUGAUUGAUUAAGAUUGUUUGUAGGUUUUCAAACUUUAUAUUGUUACCUUACCUUGAGAGUUAUCAAUGUUGGUCGUUUGCCACUUGAUACAGUUUUAUCGGAAAUAAUUCCUUUAAGUCAAUUAUCUUAUAACCUUUUGUGACUAGCUUUAUUUGAUUAAAUGAAGUUAUGUUAAUGAUUGAUAGGUGUUGAAUAUGAUGUUUAUCAUAAGGUGUUGUAUUUCAUCUUUACUUGGAAUGUGGGGAACUCAUGUAUUGAUAUUGAAUUAUGUGAAGAAGAUGAUAAUUGUAGAUACAUAUAUAUUGACUAAUUAUGAUGUUGUUGGUGAAUAUAUAUGUUGAAUGAUUGUGGUGAAUUGUUGGUGAAUUCAUAUAUGUCAAGUAGCGGUGAAUUGUUGGUGAAUGCAUAUAUGCUAAGUGUUUGGUGAGAUUGUGGUGAAUUGUUUGGAUGAACAUAUGUAUUGUUGUUGAGAUAUAUGUUUAUGCAUACAUGACUGAUGGUGACGGAUUUUAUAUCCAAUGUGGUGAAUUGUUUGUGUGAACAUAUGCAUUUGUUGUUGAGUCAUAUGUUCAUGCAUUCAUGACUGAUGGUGACUGUUGCGCUAAAAACACACUUAGAGCAAGUGUACUCUAUCGCAGAAGUAGUAUAAAAGAUUAUCGUAUCCCCAGGGAUUAAUUAACAAGUACCAAACUAAUUAAGAUUAAUUUAUUAUUUAGACGAACAAGUAAUAGAAUGGUUUCGGUAACUAAAGAAAAAGUAAUGACGAAGAAGGAUAAAAAUGCGAAAAUGUAAUCAAUAAAGAGAGGUCUAGGGUCGCGGUUUCACUUGCAAGUUUCGAUUCCUUUUUGUCUAGUUCUAAUCAAAUUCCUAUUUUUAUUCAAUCACCAAUCCCUUUACUAAAACUAUUAAUCCGUUUGGUCAUUCGUGAUUAAUAUUCUUUUUCUUAAAUUAACACUUUGUUUGGUCAUUCAAAGAGUUGAAACCAAGAAAAGCACAAAGCACGAAAAGGUUGAAUGAUUGGAAGACUAAAAUUAAGGUUUGAUCAUGCAAUAAUUGUAGUCUCAAUUGUCCUAUAGGUCCACCAAUUAACUGCAGUACGAUCGCUGAUCAAUUAAUUGAUUGUUAACAUGCAAAGGUUUGAUCAUUCCUAAUCAUGUGAUAAAAUCAAUAGAACAAACUUGAUUGGAAUAAAAACUGAAAUUCAAAUUAAUAAACUAGAACAUUACAAGGUCUCUAAACUUGCAAGAUCCACCUAAGACCCUAGAGGAAUAUUCAGUUAUCCAUAAUCAAAAACAACACUAAAAUAGAGAUAGAAUUCAUGAAAUUAAGAACAAGAAAUAACCUAAAAGAAAGGGGAAAUUUUUGCUCCAAGACUUGAAUCUUCAAUUCCUAUCCCCAAACCAAAGCUCUUCUCUUUGUUGCAUGUAGUGUCUCUGUAAUGUGUGAAGUCAGUCGUCCUCCUUUGAUUUACAAUACUCUAUAUAUAGCCAUGUAGCAUUCCAAUUUCACCGCCCCAAAAUUCCUUAGACAGUAAGGAUUUUCUUCUUUCUACACCGCCUUCCUUCAAUUUGUUUCAUGCGACUGCCUCUUUGUUUCAAUAAGCCAAAGAACAUUCCUUUUCUUCAUCAGUAAGAGUUCUUUGUAUCACCGCCUCUGCCAUAUGCUUCAGCUCCUUGCUCUCUUUGUAUGCCGCCUCUGCCCUUGUAUUCUCACAUUUCUUUCUUUUUAUUUUCUCACCUAUAUCUCAUUCUUUUAUUGUGCAACAGCUACUUGUAUUUGUUUGGAGGAAGAUAAUAAGUCUAUCUUUUCCUUUUAAUUGAGAUCACCGCCCCUAACCUC